UGGGGAAUUUUGGACAAUGGGGGAAACCCUGAUCCAGCCAUCCCGCGUGUGCGAUGAAGGCCUUCGGGUUGUAAAGCACUUUUGGCAGGAAAGAAACGUCAUGGGUUAAUACCCCGUGAAACUGACGGUACCUGCAGAAUAAGCACCGGCUAAUUACGUGCCAGCAGCCGCGGCAAUACGUAGGGUGCAAGCGUUAAUCGGAAUUACUGGGCGUAAAGCGUGCGCAGGCGGUUCGGAAUGAAAGAUGUGAAAUCCCAGAGCUCAACUUUGGAACUGGAAUUUGAACUACCAGGCUAGAGUGUGUGAGAGGAAGGUGGAAUUCCGCGUGUAGCAGUGAAAUGCGUAGAUAUGCGGAGGAACACCGAUGGCGAAGGCAGCCUCCUGGGAUAACACUGACGCUCAUGCACGAAAGCGUGGGGAGCAAACAGG
Molecule: ribosomal RNA, 429 nt
Filed under: Acidobacteriota bacterium
Lineage: Bacteria; Pseudomonadati; Acidobacteriota
Description: Acidobacteria bacterium partial 16S ribosomal RNA
Rfam family: Bacterial small subunit ribosomal RNA
Source: RNAcentral